GUUAGCUUAGUAUAAUUGGAGUACAAAAGAUUGUAGAUCUUUAAGUAAGAUUUCUUAGCUAAAA
This 64-nucleotide transfer RNA is filed under the name Cardiocephaloides medioconiger. RNAcentral's name for it is "tRNA-Tyr". It matches the Rfam family "tRNA". Rfam says of the family: Transfer RNA (tRNA) molecules are approximately 80 nucleotides in length. Their secondary structure includes four short double-helical elements and three loops (D, anti-codon, and T loops). Lineage: Eukaryota; Metazoa; Platyhelminthes; Trematoda; Diplostomida; Strigeidae. The record is from RNAcentral.